CCUACGGGGGGCUGCAGUGAGGAAUAUUGGUCAAUGGACGAGAGUCUGAACCAGCCAAGUAGCGUGAAGGAUGACUGCCCUAUGGGUUGUAAACUUCUUUUAUAAAGGAAUAAAACGAGGCACGUGUGCCUUUUUGCAUGUACUUUAUGAAUAAGGAUCGGCUAACUCCGUGCCAGCAGCCGCGGUAAUACGGAGGAUCCGAGCGUUAUCCGGAUUUAUUGGGUUUAAAGGGAGCGUAGAUGGUUUGUUAAGUCAGUUGUGAAAGGUUGCGGCUCAACCGUAAAAUUGCAAUUGAUACUGGCAGUCUUGAGUACAGUUGAGGUAGGCGGAAUUCGUGGUGUAGCGGUGAAAUGCUUAGAUAUCACGAAGAACCCCGAUUGCGAAGGCAGCUUACUAAACUGUGACUGACAUUGAUGCUCGAAAGUGUGGGUAUCAAACAGGAUUAGAUACCCCUGUAGUC
This 460-nucleotide ribosomal RNA is filed under the name uncultured bacterium. Its description in RNAcentral is "partial 16S ribosomal RNA". It matches the Rfam family "Bacterial small subunit ribosomal RNA", at positions 338 to 795 of the family's 1533-position model. The record is from RNAcentral.